Molecule: non-coding RNA, 31 nt
Filed under: Homo sapiens (human)
Lineage: Eukaryota; Metazoa; Chordata; Mammalia; Primates; Hominidae
Source: RNAcentral
GCCCCGUGUCCACGCAUGAUCCUCUCAGGGC